GAGGAUGGAAGAGGAGAGCGGAACUGCCGGUGUAAGGGUGAAAUCUGUGGAUAUCGGCAGGAACGCCAGCGGAGAAGUCGGCUCUCUGGUCCAUUUCUGACGCUCAGGGACGAAAGCUAGGGGAGCGAACAGGAUUAGAUACCCUGGUAGUCCUAGCUGUAAACGAUGGGCACUAGAUGCUCGUUCUUUUGAAUGGGUGUCGUAGCUAACGCGUUAAGUGCCCCACCUGGGGACUACGGUCGCAAGACUAAAACUCAAAGGAAUUGACGGGGGCCUGCACAAGCGGUGGAACACGUGGUUUAAUUCGAUGCUACGCGAGGAACCUUACCAGGGCUUGACAUGCUGGAAGUAGCCACCCGAAAGGAUUGGCCACCUGUAACCAAUCAGGAACCAGUGCAGGUGCUGCAUGGCUGUCGUCAGCUCGUGCCGUGAGGUGUUCCCUUAAGUGGGAAAACGAGCGCAACCCUCGUCCUUAGUUGCCACCUUCGAGUAAUCGGAGCGCACUCUAAGGAGACUGCCCGCGUUAAGUGGGAGGAAGGUGAGGAUGACGUCAAGUCCGCAUGGCCCUUAUGUCCUGGGCUACACACGUGUUACAAUGGCGCAUACAAUGGGGGGCUAAGCCGUAAGGUGGAGCAAAUCCUAUAAAGUGUGCCUCAGUUCGGAUUGAGGGCUGCAAUUCGCCCUCAUGAAGCUGGAAUCGCUAGUAAUGG
Molecule: ribosomal RNA, 710 nt
Filed under: uncultured bacterium
Lineage: Bacteria
Description: bacterial SSU rRNA
Rfam family: Bacterial small subunit ribosomal RNA
Source: RNAcentral